This 415-nucleotide ribosomal RNA is filed under the name uncultured bacterium. RNAcentral describes it as "bacterial SSU rRNA". It matches the Rfam family "Bacterial small subunit ribosomal RNA", at positions 362 to 776 of the family's 1533-position model. The record is from RNAcentral.
UAUUGCACAAUGGGGGAAACCCUGAUGCAGCGACGCCGCGUGAAGGAAGAAGUAUUUCGGUAUGUAAAGCUCUAUCGGCAGGGAAGAAAUAGCGACCUUUGGGUCGCCAGACGGUACCUCAUUAAGAAGCUCCGGCUAACUACGUGACAGCAGCCGCGGUAAUACGUAGGGGGCAAGCGUUAUCCGGAUUUACUGGGUGUAAAGGGAGCGUAGACGGCAGCACAAGUCUGAAGUGAAAUGCCGGGGCUUAACCCCGGAACUGCUUUGGAAACUGUGCAGCUAGAGUGCAGGAGAGGUAAGUGGAAUUCCUAGUGUAGCGGUGAAAUGCGUAGAUAUUAGGAGGAACACCAGUGGCGAAGGCGGCUUACUGGACUGUAACUGACGUUGAGGCUCGAAAGCGUGGGGAGCAAACAGG